Molecule: ribosomal RNA, 381 nt
Filed under: Triticum aestivum (bread wheat)
Lineage: Eukaryota; Viridiplantae; Streptophyta; Magnoliopsida; Poales; Poaceae
Description: partial small subunit ribosomal RNA
Source: RNAcentral
AUGGGCCACGCGCCGUCACUGCCGAGAUUCGUGUCAUGGAGCCGACCGCGAUGGUACCUGAACCUGUGGAAGGUGGCCGCGGCGGUGGUUGUCCUGCCCUACGCCGCCAAGUUCAGUAUUUUUGCUGCGAUAAGCCAAAAAGAGACCGUGCCCUUCAGCAACCGGGCCCAUCGUGUCCUCCUGACCUCGUCGGAGGAGCGCGAGUUUGGCGACAAAAAUUUCAACGAUUGGAAGAAGAAGAACGGCAAAGACAUCCUUGGCCCGUCUGACCCGAGGACUGUCCUCGUCCGCCGCAUCGCCUCAGAUAACAUCCACGGAGUCCGCCGCCUCUUCCCAAAAACGGCAUCCAUGACGAUGAUGUUAAGCAGGGGAAGGUGGUAG